UGUUACAAGAUGUUCAUAAACAACCAGCAUCUAAACAAAACACCACAGCUAAACCGGACCUCCCUAACUUGGAACCUCUCCUACUAGACCUCAGGAAACAGGAAUCGCAGAUCAACAUAGAGAUCAAAAGACAGAACAAGGAUAACAGAACGUCCUUCAACACCCUACCCAAAGAGCUAAGUAAACAGGAACGAACUUCAAGCAGCAACAUCCGAAGCCUUCUCACAUGUUGGUCAUCAACCUCGAGAAACAAAUAACAGACACUAGAACAACCUAGCUUCCUAGAACUCUUUGAUCCUCUCCAUCAACCUGGCCAAAUCUUCCUGGAGCUCCACCGCUGAUAUCUGCAGCUUCUGCCAUUGUUUCACAUAGCCCACGACCUGAAAAGAAGUGUUUAGUAUUAGAAACAAGAAUAUUGUUAAACACCCAAUUAUUUCUAUUCUUCCACAGAGCCCAACACACACUAGCAACUAUAACAUGGCCCGAAGAUUGCAUAGAGGAAUUUGACCCAAUCGCACAUUUUAAGUCUUGAAAAGACGCCGGGAUACCCUCCCAGUUCAGGGCCUCCC
This 569-nucleotide long non-coding RNA is filed under the name Zea mays. RNAcentral's name for it is "long non-coding RNA (ZMAY_LNC003595)". Lineage: Eukaryota; Viridiplantae; Streptophyta; Magnoliopsida; Poales; Poaceae. The record is from RNAcentral.